This 450-nucleotide ribosomal RNA is filed under the name uncultured bacterium. RNAcentral's name for it is "partial 16S ribosomal RNA". It matches the Rfam family "Bacterial small subunit ribosomal RNA", at positions 354 to 796 of the family's 1533-position model. The record is from RNAcentral.
GUGGGGAAUAUUUGACAAUGGGCGAAAGCCUGAUCCAGCCAUGCCGCGUGUGUGAAGAAGGUCUUCGGAUUGUAAAGCACUUUAAGUUGGGAGGAAGGGUAGUAACCUAAUACGUUGCUACUUUGACGUUACCGACAGAAUAAGCACCGGCUAACUUCGUGCCAGCAGCCGCGGUAAUACGAAGGGUGCAAGCGUUAAUCGGAAUUACUGGGCGUAAAGCGCGCGUAGGUGGUUCAGUAAGUUGGAAGUGAAAUCCCCGGGCUCAACCUGGGAACUGCAUUCAAAACUGCUGAGCUAGAGUACGGUAGAGGGUGGUGGAAUUUCCUGUGUAGCGGUGAAAUGCGUAGAUAUAGAAAGGAACACCAGUGGCGAAGGCGACCACCUGGACUGAUACUGACACUGAGGUGCGAAAGCGUGGGGAGCAAACAGGAUUAGAAACCCUUGUAGUCC